AUACGGAGGGUGCAAGCGUUACUCGGAAUCACUGGGCGUAAAGCGCGCGCAGGCGGCUAUUUAAGUUGGAUGUGAAAGCCUACGGCUCAACCGUAGAACUGCAUCCAAAACUAUUUAGCUAGAGUGUGGGAGAGGAAGAUGGAAUUAGUGGUGUAGGGGUAAAAUCCGUAGAGAUAACUAGGAAUACCAAAAGCGAAGGCGAUCUUCUGGAACAGUACUGACGCUGAGGCGCGAAAGCGUGGGGAGCAAACAGGAUUAGAAACCCUAGUAGUCC
RNAcentral lists this ribosomal RNA (274 nucleotides) under uncultured bacterium. RNAcentral describes it as "partial 16S ribosomal RNA". It matches the Rfam family "Bacterial small subunit ribosomal RNA", at positions 523 to 796 of the family's 1533-position model. The record is from RNAcentral.